This 701-nucleotide long non-coding RNA is filed under the name Erythranthe guttata (spotted monkey flower). Its description in RNAcentral is "long non-coding RNA (EGUT_LNC001414)". Lineage: Eukaryota; Viridiplantae; Streptophyta; Magnoliopsida; Lamiales; Phrymaceae. The record is from RNAcentral.
GUGACGUAGUCGAUGUUGUUUGUGGAGGCACCUUGGGAAUCUUCAUUGCUAGGCAGAGAUCGUCGAUGAGAGUAUUUUGAAAGGGGUAAAAAUAAAAUUUAAAUAUUUUCUUUCACAUUUUCGCAAUUUUUGUAAUAUUUUUGAUAAUUCGUUUUUUCAUGGUGGUCAGAGGGAGCAUGAGUAGAAUAUAUCAAGAAAGGAGCUUUUGGAGUUUGUUCUAAUUUGUUCGUGUUCCUUAUACCAGCUUCAAUCCUAUAUCUUAUCUCAUUUUCCUCUAAUUACAAUUGAUUAUGCUGGAAAGAUUCUUGAAUAAUGUCAUCUGAUGAUGUAUAUAAUUUAUAUAAACUUUGCAGAUGUGGAUUUGAAGGCAAGGGUGAAAUUUGGUUUAAAGGUAUCCUCAAUUUUGAUUCUUCUUUUAUAUUUUACAAUUUAUCCAUUCAACUUUACUUUAAGCUCUAUUACAAUGUUGUAUUUUACCUUAUGUGGAAGUUAUAGAAAACUCAAAAUUAUUUGGAUCCCACAACUUAAUAUUCAGAGCAACACUAAACUAAAGGGUGAGAAUGCCACUAAACUGAAGAUACAUUUUUUAAGCAUUAUUGUUUCUUUCUGAUUAUACAUUUUGUGUCAUUCAAUUUGACUUAAAAUAGGACGAAAGACUUCAUAAGCAAGCUUGUUACCGAAUUGAACAUUGUUGCAUUGGA